CCUCUCCAUUUCACCCCUUCAUCUCGAUUUGAAGAAACAGCUUCGCUUCCAUUAAUCUCUUCUGCUACUAUUAAGAUAGAUGAUUCUACCCUAAUACCUAUUUCGACGGUGAUGAUGAAAACCCUUCCGUUUUUCUUUAUCGCCCACAUACAACUUCUCUUCCUCUUUACUCUCUUUUUCUUCUUUUACGAUCCAACUCCACAGCCACAACCCAUAAUCCUUAUGUUUGAGCACCACUAUCAUCACUGAUUCAACCGCCACUAGGACUACCUUCUUCUUCUUCUUCUUAGAACUCGAUCUCUUGUUGAAUCUCUUUAGUUGAAACUGUAUUUCUAUUUGUUUUCCAGGGUUUCAAAUAUGGAGAUGAGCAAGAGAUUACUUUGAUUGAUCUACAGGAGGAUUUGAAAAACACAUGUAACAAACCAUUUCCCAAUUUAAAGUCGUUCCUAAUCAGUUGAUAGAAGACUUUCAGGUUCAGUGGCUUGAAUUUGUGAACAAUUUGAAGUCUUAUUCAUUGUUCUUAUUUUUCAAUUUUAAUUUCAGAAGCAGGAACUCCCAUAGGUAUUUCAAUUUGUGAAUCUUCUCCCUUUGCCUUCGCAAACUAUAGCUAUUCUCAUGCCUUCAGGGACGUAAUGUUGUAAUAGAACAAAUCUUUGGUGCACCUAAAGUGACUAAAGAUGGUAUCAAGCAUUGAGUUUAAGGACAGAGUUAAGAACAUUGGUACCAGCCUUGUAAAGCAAGUAGCAAAUGCCACCAACAAUGUAGCUGGUGAUGGAAACUACACUAUUGCAACUCAGAAGCUAAAAUGGAAAACAACAUCAGAAAACACCAGUUCACAAAUAUUGAAGGAAGUUUCACUGCUUCGUUCCUGUCAUUGUUAACAAUCUUUGCGUCAAUGCCCUUACUCCGCAGAGGAAGACGCUGACGUCGACUUCUAACAAACUCCCCUUAACAAACUACAGCUCUAUAGAUUUCCACAUUCAACUCAAAUGUAUAUUGGUUAUCGUGAAGCUUUCCAUUUAGGUUUUGGUUAAGCUAGAAUGUAAAAGAUGGCAAAGCAAAGGAAUUAACAUCAUAUAUGAAAUCAGAGACAAUCGACUUGGCUAUAAAUCCGGUGUACUUAAAGAAGGAAUGAAACGUAGUUACGUUAUGCAUUGUGAUUAUGUUGCCAUCUUUGAUGCUGAUUUCCAACCUGAACCUGAUUACUUAUGGAGAACUAUCCCUUUCCUUUAUCAUAAUCCUGAAAUUGCUCUUGUUCAAGCUCGAUGGACUUUUGGUGGCGAAGAUUAUCGCAGACUGUAUGCGUAAUUAUCUUCUAUUUGAGUACUUGUUGCAAGUUCAUAUUGUUCCAUCAGAGAAAAUCCAUCCUGAACUGUAAGCAAUUUUUUUGAUUUAUCCAAGUAUUGUAUGUAACAAACAUAGUUGCACCUCUGAAUUCUUUCAGUUGUGCUCUUUUUUAGUACAUUUUACACCUGAUUUCUUAAUGCAACU
Molecule: long non-coding RNA, 1491 nt
Organism: Papaver somniferum (opium poppy)
Lineage: Eukaryota; Viridiplantae; Streptophyta; Magnoliopsida; Ranunculales; Papaveraceae
Exons: 8
Source: RefSeq, a predicted model, not a curated record